Molecule: long non-coding RNA, 357 nt
Organism: Schistocerca nitens (vagrant locust)
Lineage: Eukaryota; Metazoa; Arthropoda; Insecta; Orthoptera; Acrididae
Exons: 3
Source: RefSeq, a predicted model, not a curated record
CCUGUGUCAGUGCCGCUGGCGCGAAUAGCCAGUGUGGUUUGAAAGAUAGUAAUUUCAGCGUUUAAAAUUUAAUAUCACAAGGGAACAGCGCUGAACAAAUCUAUGCUGAGUUAAUGGAAGUGUAUGCAAAGAUGCACUGUCAUAUGACACAGUGAUUAAGUGGCGCAAACGCUUUGAAUCCGGUGAAACAAGUCUUCAUUCACCUGAUGAAGAACCAAGUGAAAUGCCAUUGCUUUGUGAAGAACAGGAAGUGAAGAGAGAGUUUGCCAAAUGCUUGGAUCAUAAACUUAAAAGUAUGGAUGAGCACCAAGUUGUACCUGAUGUUGUUGAUAAAGCCCCUCCUCAGAUCUUGGAGGU